Molecule: ribosomal RNA, 465 nt
Filed under: uncultured bacterium
Lineage: Bacteria
Description: partial 16S ribosomal RNA
Rfam family: Bacterial small subunit ribosomal RNA
Source: RNAcentral
GAACGCUGGCGGCGUGCUUAACACAUGCAAGUCGAACGGAAAGGCCCUGCUUUUGUGGGGUGCUCGAGUGGCGAACGGGUGAGUAACACGUGAGUAACCUGCCCUUGACUUUGGGAUAACUUCAGGAAACUGGGGCUAAUACCGGAUAGGAGCUCCUGCUGCAUGGUGGGGGUUGGAAAGUUUCGGCGGUUGGGGAUGGACUCGCGGCUUAUCAGCUUGUUGGUGGGGUAGUGGCUUACCAAGGCUUUGACGGGUAGCCGGCCUGAGAGGGUGACCGGCCACAUUGGGACUGAGAUACGGCCCAGACUCCUACGGGAGGCAGCAGUGGGGAAUAUUGCACAAUGGGCGGAAGCCUGAUGCAGCAACGCCGCGUGCGGGAUGACGGCCUUCGGGUUGUAACCCGCUUUCGCCUGUGACGAAGCGUGAGUGACGGUAAUGGGUAAAGAAGCACCGGCUAACUACGUG